This 201-nucleotide ribosomal RNA is filed under the name Neobodo designis. RNAcentral's name for it is "partial Bacterial small subunit ribosomal RNA". It matches the Rfam family "Bacterial small subunit ribosomal RNA", at positions 576 to 776 of the family's 1533-position model. Lineage: Eukaryota; Euglenozoa; Kinetoplastea; Neobodonida; Neobodonidae. The record is from RNAcentral.
UGGUUGAUUGCGUCGGAAGUGAAAACUUGGGGCUUAACCCUGAGCGUGCUUUCGAUACGGGUUGACUUGAGGAAGGUAGGGGAGAAUGGAAUUCCUGGUGGAGCGGUGGAAUGCGCAGAUAUCAGGAGGAACACCAGUGGCGAAGGCGGUUCUCUGGACCUUUCCUGACGCUGAGGAGCGAAAGCGUGGGGAGCGAACAGG